GAACAGCGCCCUUGCGGCGUGCUGCGGGUGAACUCCGCCAGGGUCGGAAGGCAGCAACGGCAGCCUUUAGGCGCGGGUGUUGAGGUGACGCUGUUCAGC
RNAcentral lists this signal recognition particle RNA (99 nucleotides) under Deferribacteraceae bacterium. RNAcentral describes it as "signal recognition particle sRNA small type". It matches the Rfam family "Bacterial small signal recognition particle RNA". Rfam says of the family: The signal recognition particle (SRP) is a universally conserved ribonucleoprotein involved in the co-translational targeting of proteins to membranes. Archaeal SRP consists of a 7S RNA and homologues of the eukaryotic SRP19 and SRP54 proteins. In most bacteria, the SRP consists of a 4.5S RNA and the Ffh protein (a homologue of the eukaryotic SRP54 protein). Lineage: Bacteria; Pseudomonadati; Deferribacterota; Deferribacteres; Deferribacterales; Deferribacteraceae. The record is from RNAcentral.